AUGGAAGGUCUCCUACACUGGGAUUUCAACCUUGGCCUUGCGGUUAUAGAUCAGGUACGUCGAUGAUUUGGAGAAACGGUUCAUUAUACCCCCUCUCGCAAUACCAAGGAUUUCUUCUUGGUUGUUUCUUUCUCCUCGGCUUCCUUUCCUCUUUCUGAGCAUUCAGUGGGCGUAGCUUUACAAUGUCGCAUUGGUGGUCACCACAAAGGGUUUAAGGUCUCUCGGAUCAAUUAG
This 234-nucleotide ribosomal RNA is filed under the name Triticum aestivum (bread wheat). Its description in RNAcentral is "partial small subunit ribosomal RNA". Lineage: Eukaryota; Viridiplantae; Streptophyta; Magnoliopsida; Poales; Poaceae. The record is from RNAcentral.